This 403-nucleotide ribosomal RNA is filed under the name uncultured bacterium. RNAcentral describes it as "partial 16S ribosomal RNA". It matches the Rfam family "Bacterial small subunit ribosomal RNA", at positions 30 to 526 of the family's 1533-position model. The record is from RNAcentral.
AUUGAACGCUGGCGGCAGGCCUAACACAUGCAAGUCGAGCGAGCGGCGGACGGGUGAGUAAUGUAUGGGGACUGCCCGAUAGAGGGGGAUAACUACUGUACACGGUGGCUAAUACCGCAUACUAUCGGAUAACCCAUAUGGGAUUCGAUAGUAGGUGGGGUAAAGGCUCACCUAGCCGACGAUCCCUAGCUGGUCUGAGAGGAUGAUAAGCCACACUGGGACGGAGACAAGGCCCCGACUCAUACGGAGGCGCCAGUGGGGAAUAUUGCACAAGUGACGCAAGCCUGAUGCAAACAUGCCGCGUGUAUGAAGAAGGGCUUAGGGUUGUAAAGUACUUUCAGCGGGGAGGCGUUACCCGCAGAAGAAGCACCGGCUAACUCCGUGCCAGCAGCCGCGGUAAUUC